RNAcentral lists this ribosomal RNA (506 nucleotides) under uncultured bacterium. RNAcentral describes it as "partial 16S ribosomal RNA". It matches the Rfam family "Bacterial small subunit ribosomal RNA", at positions 28 to 523 of the family's 1533-position model. The record is from RNAcentral.
GAUGAACGCUAGCUACAUGCUUAACACAUGCAAGUCGAGGGGUAACGAGAGGAAAGCUUGCUUUCCUUGUCGACGACCGGCGCACGGGUGAGUAACGCGUAUCCAACCUGCCCCCAACUAGGGAAUAACCUUGCGAAAGUAAGACUAAUACCCUAUAAUUUCCUCAGAUGUCAUCUGACGAGGAAUAAUGAUUUAUCGGUUGUGUAUGGGGAUGCGUCUGAUUAGCUUGUUGGCGGGGUAACGGCCCACCAAGGCAACGAUCAGUAGGGGUUCUGAGAGGAAGGUCCCCCACAUUGGAACUGAGACACGGUCCAAACUCCUACGGGAGGCAGCAGUGAGGAAUAUUGGUCAAUGGGCGGAAGCCUGAACCAGCCAAGUAGCGUGCAGGAUGACGGCCCUAUGGGUUGUAAACUGCUUUUAUACAGGAAUAAAGUUAGCCACGUGUGGUUAUUUGUAGGUACUGUAUGAAUAAGGACCGGCUAAUUCCGUGCCAGCAGCCGCCGUAA